RNAcentral lists this ribosomal RNA (465 nucleotides) under Vreelandella stevensii. RNAcentral's name for it is "partial 16S ribosomal RNA". It matches the Rfam family "Bacterial small subunit ribosomal RNA", at positions 338 to 795 of the family's 1533-position model. Lineage: Bacteria; Pseudomonadati; Pseudomonadota; Gammaproteobacteria; Oceanospirillales; Halomonadaceae. The record is from RNAcentral.
CCUACGGGAGGCUGCAGUGGGGAAUAUUGGACAAUGGGGGGAACCCUGAUCCAGCCAUGCCGCGUGUGUGAAGAAGGCCCUCGGGUUGUAAAGCACUUUCAGCGAGGAAGAACGCCUGGUGGUUAAUACCCAUCAGGAAAGACAUCACUCACAGAAGAAGCACCGGCUAACUCCGUGCCAGCAGCCGCGGUAAUACGGAGGGUGCGAGCGUUAAUCGGAAUUACUGGGCGUAAAGCGCGCGUAGGUGGCUUGAUAAGCCGGUUGUGAAAGCCCCGGGCUCAACCUGGGAACGGCAUCCGGAACUGUCAAGCUAGAGUGCAGGAGAGGAAGGUAGAAUUCCCGGUGUAGCGGUGAAAUGCGUAGAGAUCUGGAGGAAUACCAGUGGCGAAGGCGGCCUUCUGGACUGACACUGACACUGAGGUGCGAAAGCGUGGGUAGCAAACAGGAUUAGAUACCCGAGUAGUC